ACCGCCCGUCACACCAUGGGAGUCGUUUAUUCCAGAAGCGCCUGCGCUAACCCCUAUGCAAAUAGGGGGAGUAGGGUUCCAAGGAGUGAACGGUAACUGGGGUG
This 104-nucleotide ribosomal RNA is filed under the name uncultured bacterium. RNAcentral's name for it is "partial 16S ribosomal RNA". The record is from RNAcentral.